This 1033-nucleotide ribosomal RNA is filed under the name Salmonella enterica subsp. enterica serovar London. Its description in RNAcentral is "bacterial SSU rRNA". It matches the Rfam family "Bacterial small subunit ribosomal RNA", at positions 1 to 1027 of the family's 1533-position model. The record is from RNAcentral. Lineage: Bacteria; Pseudomonadati; Pseudomonadota; Gammaproteobacteria; Enterobacterales; Enterobacteriaceae.
UGAAGAGUUUGAUCAUGGCUCAGAUUGAACGCUGGCGGCAGGCCUAACACAUGCAAGUCGAACGGUAACAGGAAGCAGCUUGCUGCUUUGCUGACGAGUGGCGGACGGGUGAGUAAUGUCUGGGAAACUGCCUGAUGGAGGGGGAUAACUACUGGAAACGGUGGCUAAUACCGCAUAACGUCGCAAGACCAAAGAGGGGGACCUUCGGGCCUCUUGCCAUCAGAUGUGCCCAGAUGGGAUUAGCUUGUUGGUGAGGUAACGGCUCACCAAGGCGACGAUCCCUAGCUGGUCUGAGAGGAUGACCAGCCACACUGGAACUGAGACACGGUCCAGACUCCUACGGGAGGCAGCAGUGGGGAAUAUUGCACAAUGGGCGCAAGCCUGAUGCAGCCAUGCCGCGUGUAUGAAGAAGGCCUUCGGGUUGUAAAGUACUUUCAGCGGGGAGGAAGGUGUUGCGGUUAAUAACCGCAGCAAUUGACGUUACCCGCAGAAGAAGCACCGGCUAACUCCGUGCCAGCAGCCGCGGUAAUACGGAGGGUGCAAGCGUUAAUCGGAAUUACUGGGCGUAAAGCGCACGCAGGCGGUCUGUCAAGUCGGAUGUGAAAUCCCCGGGCUCAACCUGGGAACUGCAUUCGAAACUGGCAGGCUUGAGUCUUGUAGAGGGGGGUAGAAUUCCAGGUGUAGCGGUGAAAUGCGUAGAGAUCUGGAGGAAUACCGGUGGCGAAGGCGGCCCCCUGGACAAAGACUGACGCUCAGGUGCGAAAGCGUGGGGAGCAAACAGGAUUAGAUACCCUGGUAGUCCACGCCGUAAACGAUGUCUACUUGGAGGUUGUGCCCUUGAGGCGUGGCUUCCGGAGCUAACGCGUUAAGUAGACCGCCUGGGGAGUACGGCCGCAAGGUUAAAACUCAAAUGAAUUGACGGGGGCCCGCACAAGCGGUGGAGCAUGUGGUUUAAUUCGAUGCAACGCGAAGAACCUUACCUGGUCUUGACAUCCACAGAACUUUCCAGAGAUGGAUUGGUGCCUUCGGGAAC